This is a long non-coding RNA of Myotis daubentonii (Daubenton's bat), 5769 nucleotides long. RefSeq lists it as uncharacterized. The record is from RefSeq and is a predicted model, not a curated record. NCBI's taxonomy places the organism in Eukaryota, Metazoa, Chordata, Mammalia, Chiroptera, Vespertilionidae.
CCUGCUGAGGAGAAGCCAGGGAGGAGGAGCCUCAGAAAUGAGGGCAAGUGGCCUCGGGACUGAGGAAGAGGACGGUGAGGGGAACAAAGGUAGGAGCCACCAGGCAGGCCCACAGGCUCGGGCAUGGCUGGGGUCACUAGAAGGGCUGGGUGCUGGUGUGUCAGCGCCCAAGGAGUCAGGGGAGUGCUGAGGGGGGCAUGGGUCCAAGGGGGACAGAGGGGUGGGAAAGGCAAGACCUGGGGCCUGGGCACCAGGAAGAAUGCACUUGCCCGAGGAGUGGGCGGCGAGUGUGAAGGCUGCCACCCCGUCCUGUGUGGGCUCAGAAGGAGGCCUCGAAGGGAAAACUGCCCUCCACACGUAUCAGCUCCCUCUGCUCUGAAAUGGGGCAAGAGCAGCACUGGUCUCACAGGGUUACUGUGAGGUUGGGUAAAGCACUGAGAGCAGCACCUGGCACUUAGGCAAUGGUUACUAAACGUUACCUUAAAAAAUGUAACUGCAAAAUAAAGUAACUGUAACCAGAAAGUAAGGUUUUGAGGAUAUUCACCCAACCCAGGCUCCUCAGCGGGUCUCUGAGCUUGACAGGGUCCUGAAGACCAAGCCCCACUAGCCUCCAUCAGUCUCCUUUCACCAGCCCCCGGACAAGAGGCGCCACCUGCCUGCCCCUCACCUGCCAGCCUCCCCAGGAGAGAGCCACGUGGGGGUGCAGGCCUCACCAGGACAUACCGUCUGUCUGUCUGUCAGCAGCUUGCUCUGGUCCGCUGUCCGCGCGUUAGCCCUCGGCUCUCCGCAUCCCACGGCCCCUCCACUUCCUCUUGCCAAAAGCUCCUGAAACCGGAGAAGGGAAGAAAGUGGAAACCAGGUGUCAGCCGCCUGUCAGUGCCACCGGCCACCUGCCCAGUCUGGGACCUGGAAGGCACCCCAGGGAGAGCAGGCAGGAAAGCCAUGGGACAGGGUCUGAGGGGGCAGCGUGGAGGUGGGAGAGGAGUAGGAGCACCGGGCUCCUGCCUGCUCUAUGAAGAGUCAUGCGUGUCUGAGUAUUGUUCAUGGUCGUGGCUUACACACAUGCCCAAUUCUGAAAUAGGCCUGUCCCUGUCCUGUCCCUCUCCUACCCCACAUCUGUCCUGUUCAUCUCUCAGCAUCUGCAAACAACUAAGAGGUUUGGAGAACAUGGGCUGCACAAGAGAAUACCAGGGAAAAGCCUCGUAGAGAUGUAAGAAGCUGCUGGAAAGAAGGCUCCUAGCAGUCUCCAGAAGGAACCCAAAGGCUACCUCCGUGUACACCAUGGUAAACAGACUCUGUGAUGAGGAGGGGAAGGCACAGGAGAGGAAAUCUAAAAAAGGCAGCAGUUUAGAGCAAUGAUGGUUCUCAAACAGGGUGACUUUGGUCCCCCCUCGCCCCCUCCUCAGGUAUCUGGCAAAUGUCUGAAGAUAUUUCUGGUUAUCACAACAGGAGUGGGUGCCAUUGGCAUGUAGUGGGUAGAGGCCAGGGCUGCUGCUAAACAUUCCGUGAUGCACGGGACACCCCCACGAGAAAGAAUGAUCAACACACAAUGUUGACAGUGCCACGGCUGAGAAACCCUGGCGUAGACACCCGAGUCUGGGGAGCUGAGAGGCUGGGGUCCCAGGCUCAGUGAUGCUGACUCACUGUGUGGCCCUUCCUCCCUGGAUAAGGCUUUCUCAUCUGCCCCCGGUGGCGGGACGGAGUCACCUGUGGUCCCCUCCAAGUUCUUGGGGUUCUGAGCUCUGCCCCCAUCUGUAAUAAACUAGGCUGCAGCAGGGGGGCAGCAGCCACCACAGGGACCAGCGGAGGCAGCAACCUUAGGUGGCCUUCUGGGCAUAAACAAUCUUCCUGCUGCCUUCACCUAAACAGAGCUCGGGGCUAGAGCGUGUGUUCCUGCUGUUGGGACAUGCCCUGGCCAUGACUCUUGUCACAUUCCAACAGGGCCUGAGGCAGGGAGAAGGUGAGGGUGUAGGGAGGGCGGGGAAGCAGGAGUGGCCUCCUCCUCUGUCUGAACAGCUUGGUCUCUGGCCUGGGGUUCUCGGGGAGCUGGGGUGUGACAGCAGGCACGAGCCGCCCACCCCCACCCCUUUGAUGGUGAAGCAGAACGUGUCCCCACAGGGCACAAGCAGCAUGCUGUGCCGAGCUGACUCCCUGCACAGGAAUCCGGGCGGGCCUGAAGGGACAGUACAUUCCUGGGCUGUGGGGAGCAGACAAGUCACCCCCACAGGUCCCCCAGGGCUACCCCUCCAGAGGGCCCCAGGGGGAGAGUUCCUAUGGCCUGGGGGAGAGGCCGGGCAGCCCAAACCAGCCUGGGUACCUGGAUUCCGAUACACAGGGGGUGGAAGUGGAGGUGUGUGUUUGAGCUGGGAAGGUGUGUAGAGCCAGAAACACAGGAGCAAGUGUUACACGCAGCCAAAGAGAUUCUACAAAACCCAGGGGAGGCUCCUGUGCUGGCCUCUGCCUUCUCUCCUUUUCUAUGGAGAAUCCAGGCCCCAGCUCCCAUCUGAUCCCCAGUCAGCUGGGUAGCCCCUCUUUCCCUGCAGGCCCCUUUACGGACCCUCCUCUAUUCUCAGCUGCUGCUUUCCUUCCCUACCCUGUUCCUGCCGAUGCCCACGCUGUCCCCGAGGCGCCAGGACAUGCGUAUGGGCAGGGAGGACACUGACUGCUCAGGUAUCUGGUAAUUCUACCUGUAAGGAGAGCAGCCUCACGCCGCGCUCCGCAGCCCUCACUCUAAUUGCCACGCAUCCCACAGCCCAUCCUGCCUCAUCCUGACCUCCAGUCCCCACGCCCCAGCCCCUCAGCACAUAUUCCCGGAGCUUCCGCAGCCAGCCAGUCGGGCUUGCUGAGGGGGCAGACAGAGUGGAUGUGGGUGGCAGUGAAAUGGGGAGUAGAUGCAGGCACGGACACUCUGGGACGGAUGGUGGGGAGACGGGCUGGUUCUCUCCCAGCCAGAGCCGACUCUUUUCAUGCACGUUAGUCACAGAGAGGGGAGCCACUCCCAACGGGGAACACAGAGGGCAAUGCCCACCAGGGAGCCUGCAGUAUCCCAAACGUAAGUCCACGAGGGAGAGUCUGUGCCACUCCCUGCCCCAUGUCCAUAAAUACCGGAGCCCUCGCUUUAACUCCUGAGAUCCGCUAAGUGCCCCAGAUUCAGCGUCUAGGGGCCCACGAUGCCGGCACUGAACAGGAACACACUGGGCCUGGCCGCCCGCUGUCCUGGACUAGAAGCGCCACAGGGAAGGACAGACCCAGGGGGAGAACGGUGCCAGGUGGUGUGGAGGACAGAACAAGAAGCAGCGGGACACCAAGCCGCAAGCUGGAGGAAGAUGAAAGCCCAUGGGGCAUGAUUAGCUGCCUCCGGAGAACAAAGUCUGCUUUCAUUGGAAAUGGUACUCUCACGCACAGUGAACCCGCACUGUGAACCUGAACAGCUGAGCAGAGAGUGUAGACAGAGACAGAUAUAAGGAGAAAUGUGUGCCAGAAGUUGGCCGAGCAGUAUCCUUUAAUCAAAGGACAAAAACUUCGCCAAGCUUCACUCUUUAACCAGGAGGUGGGACUCAUACCUGCUCCUUUUGUGUGGAUGUGAAGUAUGUGUAUGUGACCAGGGACUUUCACGGUGAUCAGGGAUCACCGCUGCUGCAGAUGGAGUCGUUUCCUGGAGAAAAUUCUUCAGAAUCCUGAUUCUCUCCAAACCACUAUCCUUACUCCUCCUCCCACCAAACACCCACAGGAGGCACCAGAGGAAGGUGCACGUCCAAGAGCCAAGGACGCCCUCUCGCUUCCUUCUGCCAUCCUUUCUCUGGGUUUCCCCAAGGCCCAGGGCAAAGUCAAAGGUGCAGAAGGGAGGUCCAAGCACCUCCUCUGAGGGCUGAGGCCACCCCCUCAACACGGCCCAGCGAGGGAGACUGAAUUGAAUCCAACAUGGGUGUGGCUCUUUGGCUUUUCAAACUUCUGCCUUCCCUCACCAGAUGUCUCCCCCGGUUCCAAGUUCUUCUCUACAACUUCACUGCCCAGUUCAGCUGCCCUGCCCUGGAAAGGCAGCCUGCCACCCCCACCCCCGCCCCCCAUCGCCCAUGCUCUUGUCAGGAAAUUAUGGCCCCGACAUUUAUCUGGGCUCAGACUAUUUCUGAACCUGAUGAUACGCCUUUCUGCUCAUAGCUGGCACUGAAUCAAGCAAGUGGGUCAAUGAACCCAACUUCUCAAUUACCAAGGGCCCCACAUCACCACCAAAAUCAUUCAAGCUCUUCUUCAUAAUUCACCCAAGAAAAGGCUAACGGAAAUCAGCAGUCACUACUGCUUUUAAAAUGAAAGGAAAACCAGCCCUUCUUUAGCAUACUCUAGCCUUGUUGUAUUCUGCCUUAAUUCCCUUGGAAUCCAGCAAGAGAAAAAUAAUAGAAAUAAAUACAGGCCCUUCCAUAGCUCCCAAUCAACUGCUAAAACAUGCAUGUCUGAUCACACAGGAACUAGCGCCUCCUCUGUGAGAACUGUCCUCAGCUAACAGCUAAUUGUUAGCUAACAGCUGUACGUAGUCUCUGAACUCUGUAAGCCUGGAGAAAGCUGCACCGCAAGCUCCUGAAAGCCAGCCUCUGCCUCCAACCGAGGCCCAAGAAAUACAGACUACCCCCCUGCAAGGGCCAGCCCUGUAACCAGGUGACUGGGCAGGGGCUCCACCAGCAUGAGUACGGCCCUCUCCCCCGGGGCUCAGUGAACAGCGGAACAGUCCCUCAGCACGGUGAGCGGAUCCUAAAAGAGCUGCUGGGGCUCAACUCUCCCCACACCGGCCCCAGGUGCCCCUCCCACUUGCAACCAGCCCCCAGUUUCCGGCAUGCAGCUGUUCCUGCGAUACAUGAGCAAAGCCCUCAGCAAUCCUGGGCGCGUGGCGGGCAAGCAUCCAGCAGCUCAUGGAGCGGGGCCUGGGCAGGCUCUGUUCUGGGCUGAUGACUCGGCUAGAAGAUGCCAGUCUGUGCCCAGACUGGCCCUGCUGCCCCUCUGACAGCCAUGCUGCCACCCCUCUGGGCAAGUACAAUCUCACCCUCUUGGGACAAGCUGCCUGGGGCCCUGAUCUGGCCUCAUGCCUGCUCAAAGAGGAACAGACUGACAGGUUUUUAAAAGCCAAAAUGGGCGGGUAUUAUUCUGUCACAGAGUAAUCCUGAGGACUCAAAACUAGAGCUGUGACCUUCAGUGCUCACCUGGCUCCCCACCUGAGCAAAUACCUCAAGUCUAUCACCUGACUUCAUUCAAGCAAACACUAGACAGGAACAAAGGGGCUAAAGACGACUGAUGAUCCAACCAAACCAACCCCCCUCCUAUAAAGAGAGGGCCAACAUAUCCCCAAGAUCAUAAGCAGCACUUGACAGUGGUCCCCAUGCCCUCUCCUAAGAUGCAAGAACCAAGUGAGAGGUGGCCCUGAACUAAGCCUCCCCUCCAGUUUCCUUUGGCUUUCCUGGUCAGAGCCAAGCCACAAACCCCUCCAGCUUGCUAACUCAGGGUCCCUAAACGUCUGAGUAGCAUCUACCAGCUCUCACAUUUACACCCCCCCACCCCCACCCCCCACUAGUAGACAGCUCACUACCUUCUCCCUCCCAGCCCAAUAGUACAGAACCACUGUGCGGACCAGCAGGUCUCCAGUUUCCCUAUCCAGCCUACCCCAUACUGCACGGCCUCCAGAGGCAGGAGACAUAGUCUGUCUAAAGAGUUACCUGUGGCCCUAGCCGGCUUGGCUCAGUGGAUAGAGGUCAGCCUGCGGACUGAAGGGUCACAGGUUGAUUC